UCUGAGCUUGGACAUGCAGACCAUCAUCUUGUCAUUUUCAGCUGUGCUGCUUCAAUUAUAUACCAAACUCCAGCAUUGGAAAGAAGAAAGAUCAUUGGCCUCCAUCCUUGGAUAGCAUCAAUGGCAAAGGGAAAUAUGAAAAUUGUAGACAGCCUAGGAGAAUAUACUGUUAUGUGCUUAAGAACUGUGUGGAGAGAUGCUCUGUGCUUGGCCACAGCAGCUAUGCUACAAUUACUUUCCAGAAGAGUAGGAAGGAAAGAUAGAGGAAGUAGGAUUUAGCUCAAAUAUCAUACCAUUUUCACUGAGCAGGACUUGUUGAGUAUCUUCCUGCUGGAAUCCUAUACCAUGAAGAAUAAAAGGCAUCUUAAGAAGAGGAGAGCUUGUGGAUAGAUCUCAACUUUUGCCAGAAUAUUGUUGCCACAAAGAAUUCUAGUUCAGCAUCCAGAUACCUGCAACCAUUUUUAUUGCAGUACCAUUUAUAACAGCCAGGUGAUAGAGUCAUCCAAAUGCUAAUUAAAAGAAGAAGAAGACGAAUAUAUAAAGAAGAUGGACUACUCGGGAUGAGUUAUAACGAGUUGAAUCACUGAAGGGGUCUUACAGAUCUCCCCA
This is a long non-coding RNA of Mastomys coucha (southern multimammate mouse), 609 nucleotides long. RefSeq lists it as uncharacterized. Lineage: Eukaryota; Metazoa; Chordata; Mammalia; Rodentia; Muridae. The record is from RefSeq and is a predicted model, not a curated record. The transcript has 3 exons.